UGAUUUCUGUUUUCUUUCCCUUCCUCUCACUUACAUCUUUAAUCUUUUGUUACUUUUCUCUCUGGAAAAGAGUUGCUGCAUGCUGCUUUCCGAAAAUUGGUCUGCGCUUGUGGAGCGCACCUCCAAGAUUCAAUACAACUCUGUAAAAUCUCUAGGAGGGAUUGAGGAAUCUUCCAAAAGAAAGUCAAUUUAUCUUACUUUGAUCAUUCUGGGGCUACUGUACAAGCAUUGGGUCACCGUUAUGGUUGUUACCGUCUUCCACACACUAAAGAUGCAAGGUAUGAUUGUUAUAUUUAGUAGGUUGUUCUACUCUCUUUCUUUGAAAUUGCGGAAUAGUAAGAGUGCACGAAUCAUCCAGUGUAGUGUUAACGUGGUUUUGUCCACUACCGUUGUCCCUUUUUUAUUCUUAUAAAUUUAAAUAAUAUAUAUCUGAGAAAUUUUGAGGAGCAUAUUGAUAUUGAAAAUACUAUAAAAAUUAUAAACAAUAUGACACACUCUCAUAAGCUUUUUUGUUUUUCCUUCGGAAAUGGAAUGCUACAAACUUGAACAUCUUUUGAUUUCUUAUGCAUUGCAUGUAGUAAUAUACUUUCUCAAAGAAAAAUAUUUCUGCUUCUUUUUAAUUUGAAGUGAUCUAUUGCAGGCAAUGCUGAUUUUUUUUGUUUCUAUUUGUUAAUAUGUUCUUCAUCUUCAUGUCGAUGAUUCACUUGCUUUAGUUUUGCUUCUUCCAUACUGAUUUUACAAGCCAAAAAAGCAAGAACUUGCCUCCUAUUGCUGAAAAGUUAAUGGGAGAAUGUGGUUCCAUCAAAUUUCUUUUACAACUUUAUUUUAUUGAGAGAUUUCUUCCAUUCUAUCAUAUUUAACUCUUCGUUUGUAUUCAUGUUCAAUUAAUGAACUUCUGCAUAGGGUGGUAAUAGCAUAAAGAGAAGCUUAGCUAAUAUAGCUGGUGAUUAUAUGAGAUAUGGCCAUUCAGAAUCUGUUCUACGAUAAGCCGGUUUAUUUAUCGGCUGAAGCUGGGUAGCCUUUUCCUAUUAGCUUUUUUGUUGCUAAUUUAUAUUGCUUGAGUCAUAUCAAAAAGAUACAUCAAUAUCAGGCUAAGAAUUGCUAGGUGUUUCACAAGACGACAAUAUUCAUUGAUUGUGAAGUAGUCUAUUCCCUCGGCAUGCAAGGGGAAACAGGAAGUGAAAAUAAGCAGACGUGAUUAUUGAUGUUGAAAUUAAUGUGUUACCAUUAUUAUUUUCACGGAAUGACAUGUAAUAACAAAUGUCUGCUAUGGCUUCUACACUAACCAAUGUCGUGGCUGGUGGAGAUGAGAUAAAUCAAGGCUUGGCUGACGAAUGAGGUAGAGCUUGUGGAGUAGCUUAGAAUAAUUUUUACCAUUGUUCUGGGUUUUCUCAUUUGUCUCAUUUGUCUGCAUGUUAUCUGGUUAUCAGAGGAAAAAGGGGAUGUAAAGAGCAAAGCAGACAAUGGUUCCUGCUUAGCUGUUUUAAUAUAGAUCAUUAUGUGUGCAAAUCCCUUUUGUUUGUUCAGGUUCACAGUGUCGUAUUUGCAAAUCUUUUGAUAGUUUCCUUUGUUUAACUACAGUAAUUUGUUAUUCCAGUUUUUCAGCAUAUAAGUCAUGAGGUUAGGCAGAGCCUUUUUUUUCUUCUAUCAUUUUAUAAGUCAUGAGGUUAGGCAGAUUCUUUUUUUUUUCUUCUAUCAUUUUAUAAGUCAUGAGGUUAGGCAGAGCCUGUUUU
Molecule: long non-coding RNA, 1733 nt
Organism: Nicotiana attenuata
Lineage: Eukaryota; Viridiplantae; Streptophyta; Magnoliopsida; Solanales; Solanaceae
Exons: 2
Source: RefSeq, a predicted model, not a curated record